This 1435-nucleotide ribosomal RNA is filed under the name Candidatus Parcubacteria bacterium. Its description in RNAcentral is "bacterial SSU rRNA". It matches the Rfam family "Bacterial small subunit ribosomal RNA". The record is from RNAcentral. Lineage: Bacteria; Candidatus Parcubacteria.
GAGGAUUUGAUCCUGGUCCAGGUUGAACGCUGGCGGCGUGGAUAAGGCAUGCAAGUCGAGCGAAUUAUUAUUCUAUGUAGGGGCAACCUGAAUUAGAAUAAUAAUUAGCGGCAAACGGGUUAAUACAAAAUAGAUAACAAACCCCAAAGACAGGCAUAACCCGGGGAAACCUGGGCUAAUUCCUGAUGUUUUUUACCAACAUCUGUUGGUAAAAAAAAAGAAAUUCCUUUAAAAGGGAAAUUCGCUUUGGGAUUGGUCUAUUUCCUAUCAGGUCGUUGGUAGGGUAAUGGCCUACCAAGCCGAUGACGGGUAGGCGGGCUGAGAGGCUGUCCGCCAACAAUGGCACUGAGACACGGGCCAUACUCCUACGGGAGGCAGCAGCCGAGAAUCUUGGACAAUGGGGGAAACCCUGAUCCAGCGACGCCGCGUGCAGGAAGAAGCUCUACGGAGUGUAAACUGCUUUUUGCCGGGAAAAAGUUCUUCUGAUGGUACCGGUAGAAUAAGGAGCUGCUAAUCACGUGCCAGCAGCAGCGGUGAUACGUGAGCUCCAAGCGUUAACCGGAUUUACUGGGUGUAAAGUGUUUUAAGGCGUCUGGAAAAGUCUAAUGUUAAAUCCUUUGGGCUUAACCUAAAGGCUGCAUUAGAUACUUUCUAGAUAGAGGACGGCAGAGGGAUCUGGAAUUGCCAGGGGAGGGGUGAAAUCCGUUGAUCUUGGUAAGAACACCGAAAUCGAAAGAAGGAUCCUAGGCCGAUCCUGACGCUGAUAAACGAAAGCGUAGGGAGUGAAAGGGAUUAGAUACCCCUGUAAUCUACGCCCUAAACGAUGGACACUAGCCAUUCUGAGUGUCGACCCUUAGAGUGGCGAAGCUAACGCGUUAAGUGUCCCACCUGGGGAGUACGGCCGCAAGGCUAAAACCCAAAGGAAUAGACGGGGACCCACACAAGCGGUGGACCAUGUGACUCAAUUCGAAGACAAACGAAGAACCUUACCAGGGUUUGAACUGCUAACGACACCUUUUCGAAAGAAAGGGGUUCCCACAAGGACGUUAGCAGAGGUGCUGCAUGAUCGUCGUCAGCAGGUGCCGUGAGGCGCAUGCUUAAAUGCCAAAACCUACGCAACCCCUAUCUUGCGUUUUACUUGUCGCAAGAGACUGCCUCUUUUAAAGAGGAGGAAGGUGGGGACGACGCCAGAUCCGUAUGGCCUUUAUGCCCUGGGCUGUACACGUGGUACAAUGGUUGCUACAGCGGGUUGCGAAGCAGCAAUGCGGAGCCAAUCCCUAAAAAGCAACCUCAGUUCGGAUCGAGGUCUGAAACCCGACCUCGUGAAGCCGGAAUCGCUAGUAAUCGCGAAUCAGCCAUGUCGCGAUGAAUAUGUUCCUGGGUCCUGUACUCACCGCCCGUCAACGCAAGCGAGCUGGAAAUACCUGAAGACCAG